CUGCAGUCCCGGUGUCUGGGCACCUGUGCCCGGGACAAAAAAAAGGACAAUAAACUGAAUAACCAAGAGGCCGUCAGUGUGAACUGUUAGAGAGCAGAACAUGUCUGAAGUAUCUUGCUUAGUCCUGGAUUUGGAAUAAAUGCCAGCAUUCAAUCAAGACAUGAAAUUUACUUUCCGAGUCAGAGACCUGUGAAAUUUGAAUCAAAUUCUUCAAAAGUGUCAUUCUGGGUAAAUAUUCAUGAAACAUACCUGAAGAAACUAUCGUCACUCCUUCAGGAGUUUCAUCAGCAAGAGAAGGUGUUUCACUGCAGAAGUUUUCUUGUGAACAGAAGCUAUAUGAGAUGACCCUGGAAAGUGACCCACGGAAUGAUGGUAUGGAUACAUCAGAAUUCUGCAAUGCCAAGGGGACUUGCUUUAAUACUGCACUGGGUGUUCAGGGCUGAUAUUUGCACAAAAAGGCUUUUGAGUACCAGGGGACACAGACUUUGAAUAUCUGUCUCAGCUCCUUUCUGCAAAGGCUUUGGAAGGGGCAGCAGGGCUGAGGCCAGGCUGAGAACAGAGAUCCACACCCCCACAGACUGCUUAUUCCAGGCUGGAGUGGGACAGCAGGAAGGUCAUGUAGAAACCACUUGUUCAUAACAGGCUGAAACAGGAUUCAAACUCAUGGGAGUGCUCCUGCCCAUGAAUCCCACAUGAGUGAAGAAGAGUGUUUUUGGGGCAUGUCUGCCCACUGCCCAGCAUUCAAGAAUGAUGCAUUUCAGUCACAGUCAGCCUAAACUGGAUCUGAGCUCGGGACCUGCAGGAGUUAGUGGUUUCCUUGAUUGCGUAGGCUCAGCUGGAGGAAGGAGCUCUGGCUGAACCACAGGUGUGUGAAGUGAUGUCUGCUCUUACACUUGGGUAAUAAAUCUAUUAUUUUACUGCUAUACUGCUCCACAGAGAAUUCUGGUUUUGGUCCAGCAUGCUUUGGGAUCUGCUCAGCCUCAUUUCUCUUUGCUCUGCACUGAUGCCGCCAGCAGAAGUGUAAAUUGCGACGAUGCUUCUGUGAUGCAAAGGCCCAGCUCUCUGCCAGCUACUAAUCAUAUCCCCACCACAGCUGAGCAUCGCUGACAGCCAUUUCCAAAGGAGUCCAGAUGAAUGUUUCAUGUUUUAAUUCCAGCUAGCUUAGAUCUGCUGCAUAGCUCUGUGUUUACAACAAUCUGGGCAGGAUUGUCUUGGAACCACUUAAUUUCAUCACACACUUUAUGAUCGCGUUGCAAUUAUCCAUAGUCAAACCAAUGAUCCUGAUUACAGAGCAUGACCAGGAAUAAUUGUGUUUCAUGGCAUUGUUCCCACUUGUUUAAAAACUUUCUUUAAAAUAUGCUUGAAAUGUAAAUGUAUUAAACAGAUACUCUAAAUGGUUAAUUCUUUUUCAGUGAUGAGUAAGAGAUUUAUUACUUGUGGUUUUUUCAGAUUGAAAAAUACUCUUGACAAGUUCUGCUCUUUCACUAGACAGUUUUAAUUAUGUGUCAUGCCUGUUUGUUAUUUGACAGUCUGCUCAUGUUUGGACUCUGAACACGCAGGGGAAAAUUCAUGGUUCCUUGUUUAUUGAGCAAUCCUUUUAGACUUUGCACAGUCUUUUCAAAAAUUCUUCUAAUUUAUAAUAUGAUUACA
Molecule: non-coding RNA, 1650 nt
Organism: Cyanistes caeruleus (blue tit)
Lineage: Eukaryota; Metazoa; Chordata; Aves; Passeriformes; Paridae
Source: RefSeq, a predicted model, not a curated record